GUGGGGAAUAUUGGACAAUGGGCGAAAGCCUGAUCCAGCCAUGCCGCGUGUGUGAAGAAGGUCUUCGGAUUGUAAAGCACUUUAAGUUGGGAGGAAGGGCAGUAAGUUAAUACCUUGCUGUUUUGACGUUACUGACAGAAUAAGCACCGGCUAACUUCGUGCCAGCAGCCGCGGUAAUACGAAGGGUGCAAGCGUUAAUCGGAAUUACUGGGCGUAAAGCGCGCGUAGGUGGUUUUGUAAGUUGGAGGUGAAAUCCCCGGGCUCAACCUGGGAACUGCCUCCAAAACUGCAUGACUAGAGUACGGUAGAGGGUAGUGGAAUUUCCUGUGUAGCGGUGAAAUGCGUAGAUAUAGGAAGGAACACCAGUGGCGAAGGCGACUACCUGGACUGAUACUGACACUGAGGUGCGAAAGCGUGGGGAGCAAACAGGAUUAGAUACCCCAGUAGUCC
RNAcentral lists this ribosomal RNA (450 nucleotides) under uncultured bacterium. RNAcentral describes it as "partial 16S ribosomal RNA". It matches the Rfam family "Bacterial small subunit ribosomal RNA", at positions 354 to 796 of the family's 1533-position model. The record is from RNAcentral.